Molecule: ribosomal RNA, 440 nt
Filed under: Ixodes scapularis (black-legged tick)
Lineage: Eukaryota; Metazoa; Arthropoda; Arachnida; Ixodida; Ixodidae
Description: eukaryotic large subunit ribosomal RNA
Rfam family: Eukaryotic large subunit ribosomal RNA
Source: RNAcentral
GUCAUUGCGAUAGUAAUCCUGCUCAGUACUAGUGGAACCACAGGUUCGGACACUUGGUUCAUGUGGUUGGUCGAGAGACUAGUGGUGUGAAGCUACCAUCCGUGGGAUUACGACCGAACGCCUCUAAGUCAGAAUCCCGUCUAAGCAGUGAAAUGAUAUUGUGCGUACUUGCAGCGUUUACAGGUGACGUUAGAGUUUCUCGGGUCGAUCGCGGCGGGCCGCCGCAAUUCCCGGCUCGACGACGCCACGUGGACGAGGGGGCAUUGGUCGUUCGCCGAGGUAACGGUGCGAGCGACGUUCCCAUGCACUCGUUUUUGGUGGGAAUCGCUGCGGUUUCAAAUCGUCUGUAGACGACGUAAGUACCUGUUUGUGGUGCCGUAAUUAGUAUAUCAGCCACCACACUGCGAUCUAUUGAGGCUCAGCCUUUGACCAGGAGGUUU